AGUGAACGCUGGCGGUAGGCCUAACACAUGCAAGUCGAACGGCAGCACAGUAAGAGCUUGCUCUUACGGGUGGCGAGUGGCGGACGGGUGAGGAAUACAUCGGAAUCUACUUUUUCGUGGGGGAUAACGUAGGGAAACUUACGCUAAUACCGCAUACGACCUACGGGUGAAAGCAGGGGAUCUUCGGACCUCGCGCGAUUGAAUGAGCCGAUGUCGGAUUAGCUAGUUGGCGGGGUAAAGGCCCACCAAGGCGACGAUCCGUAGCUGGUCUGAGAGGAUGAUCAGCCACACUGGAACUGAGACACGGUCCAGACUCCUACGGGAGGCAGCAGCGGGGAAUAUUGGACAAUGGGCGCAAGCCUGAUCCAGCCAUACCGCGUGGGUGAAGAAGGCCUUCGGGUUGUAAAGCCCUUUUGUUGGGAAAGAAAAGCAGCAGGUUAAUACCCCGCUGUUCUGACGGUACCCAAAGAAUAAGCACCGGCUAACUUCGU
Molecule: ribosomal RNA, 491 nt
Filed under: uncultured bacterium
Lineage: Bacteria
Description: partial 16S ribosomal RNA
Rfam family: Bacterial small subunit ribosomal RNA
Source: RNAcentral